Molecule: ribosomal RNA, 253 nt
Filed under: uncultured bacterium
Lineage: Bacteria
Description: partial 16S ribosomal RNA
Rfam family: Bacterial small subunit ribosomal RNA
Source: RNAcentral
UACGGAGGGUCCAAGCGUUAUCCGGAAUCACUGGGCGUAAAGGGUGCGUAGGCGGGUUUUUAAGUCAGGGGUGAAAUCCUGGAGCUCAACUCCAGAACUGCCUUUGAUACUGAAGAUCUUGAGUCCGGGAGAGGUGAGUGGAACUGCGAGUGUAGAGGUGAAAUUCGUAGAUAUUCGCAAGAACACCAGUGGCGAAGGCGGCUCACUGGCCCGAUACUGACGCUGAGGUGCGAAAGCGUGGGGAGCAAACAGG